GAUGAACGCUGGCGGCGUGCUUAACACAUGCAAGUCGAGCGGGCAAUUUAUCUAGCACUGAUUACUUCAAAUGGAAAUCAUAAGUGUAAUCAUGAAUUUCUACCUUUAAUAAAGAAAAAAGAAAUUCAUGUACGCAAAUAGUGAUAACACAUUUUAGUGGAGUGAUGAGUGCUGGAUAAAUUGCUAGCGGCGGACGGGUGCGUAACACGUGGGUAACCUGCCCCUAUCACUGGGAUAACACACUGAAAAGUGUGCUAAUACCAGAUAAUAUAAGCUUUUGGCAUCAUUAGCUUAUCAAAGAAUUUCGGAUAGGGAUGGGCCCGCGUCUGAUUAGCUAGUUGGUGAGGUAACGGCUCACCAAGGCAACGAUCAGUAGCCGACCUGAGAGGGUGAUCGGCCACACUGGAACUGAGACACGGUCCAGACUCCUACGGGAGGCAGCAGUGGGAAUAUUGCACAAUGGGC
This 465-nucleotide ribosomal RNA is filed under the name uncultured bacterium. RNAcentral's name for it is "bacterial SSU rRNA". It matches the Rfam family "Bacterial small subunit ribosomal RNA", at positions 28 to 376 of the family's 1533-position model. The record is from RNAcentral.